AUAAAAAAGAACAGAGUCUGGCACAUAAUAAAUGCUAAAUCAUUGGUUAUUGGUAAAAAAAAAAUGAGCUUGAUUUUAAUCUGAAGAAUUAUAAGAGCACCACUUCCAAACUGGCAUGUUGUCUUGUUUCACUGAGUCAGUCAAGAUGAGCAUGUUCAUUUACUUAAGUGGACAUGUAUUAAUACUAUGCUUAAGAACACAAUCCAGCUAUAUCUGGAUGGACAUAUAUCAUCAGUUAAAAACUAUGAAACUGUAGCCUUUUAUCCAGUUCUCUGACCCCUAUCUUGGAUUAUGGACCACCACAGAGAAUAUGCUGCUCACUCUAAACUCUCUUCCUCUAAUUCUUAAAAACACAUUUAACAAAUCUGUGACAAGGUAUAUAAGAAGGGUACAAAAUAGGUACCAACAGGGGCAGAGGUGAGAAUCCAUGAAUUCUGACUGGAGAAAUAACCACACCUCUUAGAGUAUAAACCCUUUAGCUACGUCUGGAAAGAUGAGCAGAAGUUCCGCAGAAGAAGUCAAAGAGGUUUUGAAGAAGAAAGUUUGUCUUGUGUGUUCAGGUGGUGGUGAGAGACCCAGGGAGUGGGUCUCUCGCUGCAUUUUCACAGACAAAGCAGAAGGAACUGGACUUUCAACUAUUUAAUUCUUCUGAAGUGCCUUCAAGUUCUUCCCAGUCAACAGAGAAAAUAAUACACAAGAUGUGUGAUAAUGAAGACACUAACUUAACAAUAAGAUACAAAAAAUGGGAACGUUGGAUCAUUUGGUUCUAUCCAUCCUUCAGGUCAUGGAAACAAGAUGAGAUCUCUUAUUUGCUUAUUGCCUACAUCCAAAUGUGUUUCAGAAAAUGAUUUCCCUGCCUCCUCUCACACUAAGAUGUGUCAGGCAGCACACACUGAAAAGCUGCUCAGAGCUGGGUUGGAAGAGGCGAAGCAGAGCCAAAACGGGAAUCAAAGCGUCUCACCGAACAAUUUUUUAAAACCAUUUAUUCCUUAAGGCAUCCAGAGAAGGCAAAAUUCCCAGCACAUGUUUCUGCAGUUCCAAACAUUCCCUUAGAUUUGUUUUCCAUUUUUAGUGAAGGUAUUCAAGAUUAGGUUAGGUGGCAACUCGAUCUGCUGAACACUCAUCUGGAAACUGGUCUCGGAAUUCUUUUCUUGAUGGAGAUGAAAUAUCUUGGAAUGAAGUUGAAACAAAGGUUCGAACUGGGGCCACGUUAAGACUUGUUUAUAAGAGCAGAAAGUUAAAUUUCAUAGAGACAAAGUGGCCUGUCUCCCAUCAUACAGGCAGGAGACAGGAUUCAAAAUAAAGUCUAUUUGGCUUCAGUCCUGUGUUUCUGUACAAAAGAAUGAGGCUAAAUCAGCAGAAAUGAAGGGUGAAACAAAAUGGGCACAAGACAAUUAAAAUAUAACCCGUUAUGUAAUGAUGGGAAUCCCGUUGCCUGGAGACCACUGUUGAAGAACAUCAGUGCCACGGCCUCUUGGAGAUUUAAGACAUCUAAUAAGGAGCUGACAGAAAUCAUCAGCUUGCCCCUGAGAAUGUAGCAUUUUUUAAAAGUCACAAUAAAGCACUUGUCUGGAUAUUACUUAUUUCAGAGAGUGAGAGAGACAGUGGGGGAGAAGCCGAGGAAGAGG
This is a non-coding RNA of Leptonychotes weddellii (Weddell seal), 1628 nucleotides long. The record is from RefSeq and is a predicted model, not a curated record. Lineage: Eukaryota; Metazoa; Chordata; Mammalia; Carnivora; Phocidae.